AUUGAACGCUGGCGGCAGGCUUAACACAUGCAAGUCGAGCGCGCGGCGGACGGGUGUGUAAUGUCUGGGACACUGCCUGAUGGAGGGGGAUCAAUUCUGGACACGGUAGCUAAUACCGCAUACCCUCAGAUGUGCCCAGAUGGGAUUAGCUAGUAGGUGGGGUAAUGGCUCACCUAGGCGACGAUCCCUAGCUGGUCUGAGAGGAUGACCAGCCACACUGGAACUGAGACACGGUCCAGACUCCUACGGGAGGCAGCAGUGGGGAAUAUUGCACAAUGGGCGCAAGCCUGAUGCAGCCAUGCCGCGUGUAUGAAGAAGGCCUUCGGGUUGUAAAGCACUUUCAGCGAGGAGGCGUUACUCGCAGAAGAAGCACCGGCUAACUCCGUGCCAGCCGCCGCGGUAAUAC
This 406-nucleotide ribosomal RNA is filed under the name uncultured bacterium. RNAcentral describes it as "partial 16S ribosomal RNA". It matches the Rfam family "Bacterial small subunit ribosomal RNA", at positions 30 to 526 of the family's 1533-position model. The record is from RNAcentral.